GCCCCUGUAGGCUAACGGAUAGACCAUGUGGCUUCGGACCACAAUGUGCGGGUUCGAUUCCUGCCAGGGGCA
RNAcentral lists this transfer RNA (72 nucleotides) under Candidatus Omnitrophota bacterium. RNAcentral's name for it is "tRNA-Arg". It matches the Rfam family "tRNA". Rfam says of the family: Transfer RNA (tRNA) molecules are approximately 80 nucleotides in length. Their secondary structure includes four short double-helical elements and three loops (D, anti-codon, and T loops). Lineage: Bacteria; Pseudomonadati; Candidatus Omnitrophota. RNAcentral also lists the same sequence under 1 other name. The record is from RNAcentral.